CUGUCCCUGUGGAUGCCUGUCCCCGUCCCCCAUGGGUGCCUAUCCCCAUGGGUGCCUGUCUCAGUGGGCACGGGGGCUGCCAGAGCACAAACCCUUCCCUAGUGAUGGGGGCUGCUGUCUCAAGCCCGUGGCCUCUGACCCCAGGUCUCCAGGUGCCGCUCCAGCCAGGAUGCCAUCUACACGAGGACCCACACCUGCAGCGGAUGUGCCGAGUCGGGAGCAGUCACUUCAGAAGUGGGAACAUGUCACAUGUGUUAGGGCUCACGAGCAAGAUAGAUUCCUCCUAACGGAGACCAAGGAGCCCUCUUGGGGCCCGGCCAUGGCCCUGGCCUGGGACAGCACCCACCUACUUCUGCGGGGCCUGGGCUCCUGCGGCAGUGGGCUGGUCCACGCCCCCACCACCCAGCCGGGGCCGCCCUGUGUCUGGCUCUUCCCGCUGAAAAGCACCAGCAGCAGCAAAGGUUAGUUGUUAUUCAGGAAGGCCUCCUUGUGAGCUGCCCGCUGGAGGCUUUCGUGCAGACCUGAGAAGCGAGGGAGUGAGCCCGGGGGCUCCGGGGGCCACCGGCCUGCUCAGAGGCGGCCUUCCGUGGAAACAGCGCUGCCGCCGCGGGGCCGGCCCCAGCCUAGCCGCCAAAGCGCCGUGUUAAACA
Long non-coding RNA from Leopardus geoffroyi (Geoffroy's cat), 650 nucleotides. RefSeq lists it as uncharacterized. NCBI's taxonomy places the organism in Eukaryota, Metazoa, Chordata, Mammalia, Carnivora, Felidae. The transcript has 2 exons. The record is from RefSeq and is a predicted model, not a curated record.